CGUCUCUUAAGAUAACGCAGUCAAAACAGAAUCCAGCUUCAAUGGACAGACAAAAUGAAGGAUUUCUUCAUACAGCACCUUGUUAAACAGUGGAAUUGUCAGCCAAAGGAAGCAGUGUCAGCCACCAACUUGGACAGCUGGGGAGACAGAUUCAUGGAGGAUCAAGGUUGCACAAUUCAUUUUAGCUUCCCUUUCCUAAGGCGUCAAGAAAUAG
This is a long non-coding RNA of Rhineura floridana, 214 nucleotides long. RefSeq lists it as uncharacterized. The record is from RefSeq and is a predicted model, not a curated record. The transcript has 3 exons. NCBI's taxonomy places the organism in Eukaryota, Metazoa, Chordata, Lepidosauria, Squamata, Rhineuridae.